Long non-coding RNA from Parambassis ranga (Indian glassy fish), 1650 nucleotides. The record is from Ensembl. Lineage: Eukaryota; Metazoa; Chordata; Actinopteri; Ambassidae.
GUGGAGUUUUAGCUAGCUAGCAGCUGCUUCGUAACUUGACUCGUUAGAACCAUUUAUUGUAUAAAACUGUAUAAAACGCAUUUAUUGUGGGGCUACAGGUGAACAGGUAAACAUAAGAGAGAGGUCAUCUUCAACCCGGAAGUGCAGAGGGCGCUGCCAGCUUUAUGCUGCUGUGAUAGAGUCUCUUUGUUUCUGAUGGUCAGACUCAAUGGACCGUUUAAAGAUGUCACUGCAGAUCCUGCAGGAAGUGGUAAGUGGUUCCUUAAUCAAACACGUUAUUGAUGAAGGCAGCAGAUGUUCAGCUGGUAACCUCUGUGUGUCUCCAGACUCCCCCCAGGUAAGCCUUCCCCCUGCAGAUCCAACAUGGCGUCUGACGCGUCCCCUCCUGGUGAGGAAGAGGUGAAGGUGAAGAGCAGCAGGAGGAGGAGCAGGAAGGAGGUGCAGAGGAAGACGGUGAACAUCGAGGAGUUAACAGCCGCUGGUCAUAAAGCUCUGCAGGAGGGACGGCCCGAGGACGCGCUGAGCUGCUUCAAAGACGCUCUGAGGGCCGCAGCACAGCUGCAAGAUUCCCGGGUCCUCCGGGCCUGCUCCGUUAACCUAGGAGCAGCCUACGUGGAGGCAGGCCGACCUCAGAAAGGACUGGACCUCCUGCAGCGGGCUCAUCCUGGUCCGAAGGCCAGCCGCCUCCCUGACCUACAGUUUAACAUAGCCCUGGCCCAUAAUGCACUGGGGCAAAGCCGAGAGGCUGCUGCCUGCUUCCUGCAGGCAGCUCAGCUGUACAGGUCACAGGGAGACGGAGGCAGCGAGGGGGACGCCUGCAUGGAGAUGAGCCGCUGCUACAGCAGAACACAGGUACGAGGAGCAGAACCAGGACCAGGAGCUGUGCUGGUACAGGUGUGUCAGCUGGGUCUGUGUGUUACAGGACUGGUCUCUGGCGGCUCAGGGUUUCCUGCGGGCUGCAGAGAGUUACAGAGUGGCAGCCAUGUUGGGUUGUGCAGCCAAUGCCCUGAAAGAAGCAGGAAAUCACAUGACCCAAUCCGAUCAGUUCAGCCAGGAUGACAUCACCAGCGUCCUGACAGAGUGUCUGAGUCUGACAGACAGCAUCACCGACCCCAGGACUCUGGGUAAUAAAAGAAUCGAUCAUCUGACUGUCUGACUGACUGACUGACUGAUUGAUUGAUUGAUUGAUUGAUUGAUUGACUGAUUGAUUGAUAUGACCACGGCGCUGUCGUCCAGUGGAGCUGUACCUGUCGGUGGGCGUGUCUUACUGCCAGCUCAGGUGUUUCCAGGAGGCAGUGGAGGCCUUCCAGCAGGCUCUGGGUCCUGCAGCUCAGCAGCCCCCCUUGAUGGCAAAAGUCCUGCACAACCUGGGAGCCGCUCUGAACUCUGUGGGCCAGUUCACCCCCGCUGUCGGCUACCACAGGCUGGCUGCCGGACUCUAUGGUGAGACGCCGCCCCGAUCAAUCACCUUUCAAACAGAUCAACCAGAAUACCGAUAACAUCUGGAAUCUUCUCCAUGUUCUGAAGUGGUAAAGUACAGGUGUGUGUGUGUGUGUAGGCUCCCUGGGUUGCCGUGGUGACCAGGCACGGUGUUUCAGUAACUUGGCGUUUGCCUGCAGUCAGCUGGGUGAUGAAGAGGAGGCAGCGGAG